This 492-nucleotide ribosomal RNA is filed under the name uncultured bacterium. RNAcentral's name for it is "partial 16S ribosomal RNA". The stretch from base 84 to 492 matches the Rfam family "Bacterial small subunit ribosomal RNA", at positions 1 to 507 of the family's 1533-position model. The record is from RNAcentral.
GGGGGUGGGGGGGGGGGGGGGGGGGGGGGGGUGGGGGGGCGGGGGCAGAGGGAGGGCUGGCUGGUGCGGGGGGCGGGGGGCGGGAGGGGGGGGGAUACGUCCGAGUCUGGUCUUGCGGUGGGGCGCACGUAGGUGGGCUUACUGUAAUGACGCCACGCAGCUACGGGUGAAGACCCGGGCUUCUCAGACCUUGUGCGGUUGAGUGUGCCGAUGUCGGAUUCGCUAGUUUGCGGGGUUACGGACACCCAAGGCGACGAUCCGUACCUGGUCUGAGAGGAUGAUCAUCCACACUGGAACUGAUACACGCUCCAGACUCCUACGGGAGGCAGCAGUGGGGAAUAUUGGACAAUGGGCGCAAGCCUGAUCCAGCCAUCCCGCGUGGGUGAAGAAGGCCUUCGGGUUGUAAAGCCCUUUUGUUGGGAAAGAAAAGCAGCAGGUUAAUACCCCGCUGUUCUGACGGUACCAAAAGAAUAAGCACCGGCUAACUUCGUG